CGGUAACUUAUGUAUAUUUUUGUUGUUGAAGUCUAUUAUUUUGAUUUGUCAAUAUUAAUGUAACGCUUGACUAUAAUUUUGGUUUAUUACAAGCAAGUAUGCUACUAUUAACUUUUGACUAUGUAUGUAAAUGUAAUUAGUUUUUCUUAAUUAAAGUAUUUGAUUUUAUUAUGAAAUAUCUAUCUAUCUAUCUAUUAUUAUUAUAAAAAAGAGUUUCCUCUCUCCUGGGCGUGCCACAUCAUCCACCAGGUCAGAAAGUCAAAAGUUCUGGGCGUUACACGUGUCCGCUGUGCCAAAACGUAUCGUAUCAGAUUUUUUAAAAAAGCGGUUGGGCUUUUCUUCAUAAUUAGGGUGUGCUGUUUGCUUUAGCAAGCCCAGUCCCAUAGAUCUUAUAUGUUGAAAGUUUCAUCCCUCUCUCUUCUCUGCCGUAGCGAUUCUAGGGUUGCGUUCGAGUUUCCAUCUUCUUCCUACAGAUCUAGAAAUCGUCGGUUACCGAUUCAUUCCUAUUAAAUUCCUUCAUAAAUCCUUUGUACAUGAUCUCUCUUCAAUGCCAUAUUUGCUCUUCGAAAACGGUGGAGAUUCGACUAUAAAAAGUUGUGGUUAGGUCGUUGGGUUUCUGGGAGGUGAGGAAUAUUAGGCGCGGUGAUGAACUCAUGUCUGUCCAUAUGCUUUUGCUUGAUUCAAAUGUGAGUUCCGUUUUUGAAGCAAAUGUGUCUAAGGCAAGGAGGAUGAAUUAGAGGGAGAAGAAACUGCGAUAUAGUCGGAUGGAAUUAAGACCAAAGUUUUUUUUCGUUCUCAGAAUUAGACAAAGUUGUUAUUAUUAUGUUGCUGUAUCUAUCUUUGACGGUCUUUGUGGACUAAGUUAAGAAUAAAUCUUCUGCUGGUGUGUCAAUGGUGAAUUAGACGAUGGUGCCAGCUUUUCUCCAA
Molecule: long non-coding RNA, 927 nt
Organism: Brassica napus (rape)
Lineage: Eukaryota; Viridiplantae; Streptophyta; Magnoliopsida; Brassicales; Brassicaceae
Exons: 2
Source: RefSeq, a predicted model, not a curated record